GAUGAACGCUGGCGGCGUGCCUAAUACAUGCAAGUCGAGCGAACGGAUCAGAAGCUUGCGUCUCUGAUGUUAGCGGCGGACGGGUGAGUAACACGUGGAUAACCUACCUAUAAGACUUGGAUAACUUCGGGAAACCGGAGCUAAUACCGGAUGAUAUUUUGAACCGCAUGGUUCCAAAGUGGAAGACGGUCUUGCUGUCACUUAUAGAUGGAUACGCGCUGCAUUAGCUAGUUGGUAAGGUAACGGCUUACCAAGGCAACGAUGCAUAGCCGACCUGAGAGGGUGGUCGGCCACCCUGGCUCUGAGACACGUCCCCGACUCCUACGGUGGGACGCGGCCGGGAAUCCUACGAAAGGGGGCAAAGGGGAACGGAGCAACGCGGACGGAGGUCUGAUGGUGCUCUGCUGCGUAAACUCUGUUAGUAGGAAAGAAGUAAUGUUUAAGUAACAGGGCACAUCUUGACGGUACCUGAACAGAAAGCUCCGGCUAACUCCGUG
This 497-nucleotide ribosomal RNA is filed under the name uncultured bacterium. RNAcentral's name for it is "partial 16S ribosomal RNA". It matches the Rfam family "Bacterial small subunit ribosomal RNA", at positions 28 to 507 of the family's 1533-position model. The record is from RNAcentral.